GGUUCCAUGGUGUAAUGGUGAGCACUCUGGACUCUGAAUCCAGCGAUACGACUUCAAGUCUCUCUGGAACCC
RNAcentral lists this transfer RNA (72 nucleotides) under Loxodonta africana (African savanna elephant). It matches the Rfam family "tRNA". Rfam says of the family: Transfer RNA (tRNA) molecules are approximately 80 nucleotides in length. Their secondary structure includes four short double-helical elements and three loops (D, anti-codon, and T loops). The record is from Rfam by way of RNAcentral. Lineage: Eukaryota; Metazoa; Chordata; Mammalia; Proboscidea; Elephantidae.